GAUGAAGAACGCAGCGAAAUGCGAUAAGUAGUGUGAAUUGCAGAAUUCAGUGAAUCAUCGAAUCUUUGAACGCACAUUGCGCCCCUUGGUAUUCCAUGGGGCAUGCCUGUUCGAGCGUCAUUUGUACCUUCAAGCUCUGCUUGGUGUUGGGUGUUUGUCCCGCCUCUGCGUGUAGACUCGCCUCAAAACAAUUGGCAGCCGGCGUAUUGAUUUCGGAGCGCAGUACAUCUCGCGCUUUGCACUCAUAACGACGACGUCCAAAAGUACAUUUUUACACUCUUGACCUCGGAUCAGGUAGGGAUACCCGCUGAACUUAAGCAUAUCAAUAAGCGGAGGA
This 337-nucleotide unclassified non-coding RNA is filed under the name soil metagenome. Its description in RNAcentral is "partial contains 5.8S ribosomal RNA, internal transcribed spacer 2, and large subunit ribosomal RNA". The stretch from base 1 to 120 matches the Rfam family "5.8S ribosomal RNA", at positions 35 to 154 of the family's 154-position model. The record is from RNAcentral.